This is a long non-coding RNA of Empidonax traillii (willow flycatcher), 1770 nucleotides long. RefSeq lists it as uncharacterized. NCBI's taxonomy places the organism in Eukaryota, Metazoa, Chordata, Aves, Passeriformes, Tyrannidae. The transcript is spliced from 3 exons. The record is from RefSeq and is a predicted model, not a curated record.
AUUCAUUUGUAGUCUUGGUAUAAAGAUAGAGCAAUUGCAGACAUCCCAGGAGACUUCAGACCAGAUAUUCCGCAGUUAUGAAGUGAUGUAGUUUUAUAUGUGCAGUAUGUUGUCCACCAUGGAAAUUUUCUAACAGAAAGAAUGACAGGACUCAACUCACUGUGAUAUGAAUAAUUCAGUACAUGAAUCUGAAGAAGCAUCUGCUCUGGAGGAAAGGCAAAUCAGGCUUAUGUUACUUCUUGCUUUUCUCACGAGUAAGACUAUUAGGUAUGUAAAUGUGUGAAUUCAAGAUCUUGUAACUGUUUGAAUACUCACUUCUGUGCCAGAACAAUAAGGAACCAGAUUUUUGGCCUAAAUCUAUGCUGAUCUGUUUUGAUAUUGUUCUAUCUGGAUAGAGUACAGAUAAGUACAUACCUCACACAUUUUGUUUAAAAUAGGAGGAGGUGGGCCAAAUUCUGGCUCCCUCCAAAUGAUCUGGCUGGUGCUGAGGCAUAUAAAUGUGAACACAAGUGGGACACCUCUUUGACAGUGCUGCAGUGUGCAGGAUCCAAUGAGACACGACAACUUGGUGCUUAGAUGGUAAUUGAAAAUGGAUGAAAACAUGAGGAUAGAGGACCCUGAUCAUGAGUCUGACUCCAGGGGAGGAUCCCUUCAAGUACUGGAAGGCUCUAAUCAGGUCACCCCGAAGCCUUCUCUUGUCCCAGCUGCUCCAGCAUUCCUUGUUAGCCAGUGCUCUCAUGCACCCUGACAUGGAGUCAGGAUGCCAGACCUGAAACAUUUUAAAUGAAGGCAUGGCAUUUGCAACACAAGGUUUGGUACCCUGGGUUACAUUUGUGCAUUUACUCUGACUCUGAAGGAAAGGGUAAUCUGUGAUGCUGGGUUGUGAUCUUCAGUCCCAAUCUGCCCCCCUCUCUGUGCUGUCAUCACUCCCUUUGGACAUGAAGCUGAAGGGAUGUAUGUGCCUAUUAACAGGCAGGCAGAAGCCAGGCUGCACUUUGGACAUAUGGGACCCAUUAGCUUUUAAAUCUCCCCCGGAGAUUGUCCAUAUUUAUGAUGUCCACAAAAGAAAAACUGUGUGCUUGGACAUAUUGAGUGAAAUUGAGACUAUCAAAUAUGUUUACACAAUGGUGGAAGACAAGCAAUUGAGAAAAAUGUUUAGAUAAACCUUUAUUGCUCUGACAACUAUCACCAACAUUUUUGUAUAGAAACCUAGUUUUCAUCAAUAUGAUUAAUACUCUUGCUUGUCAUUUUAACCAAGGGGUUAAGCAGAGGGCAUUUAUUUUGUAUGGCAUUUAAACAAGAUUCUGAGCAAUGCUGGAGGAUGGAUGACCAGAAGGUAAAAUAAUGUUGCUCAGUAUAACCCUCAAAGUAACUCAAACUCAAGAGUUCAUAGUCUGAGGCACAGUGGCUCACUGACCUCCAAUAAAUAUCUUGUGGGACUGCAACAUGUGUCUUAUGAUUACAGAGCAACACUAAGAGAGAUCUGUGUCCUAGUUUCAGCUGGGAUGGAGAUAGUUUUCUUCCUAGUAGGUGAUACAGUGCUGGGUUUUGAAUUUAGGAUGAGAACAAACUGAUAACGCACUGAUGUUUUGGUUGCUGCUAAGUAGUGCUUACCUUAAAUCAAGGAAUUUUCAGUCUCCCAUAGUCUUCCAGUGAGCAGAUGUGCAAAGAGCUGGGAUAAAUGAGCCAAACUGACAAAAGGGACAUUCUAUACCAGCAUAUAAACUUGAGGAUUUGGCCAUGAGCUGCUGAUGGCCAAUUGUGGACAGU